RNAcentral lists this small RNA (520 nucleotides) under Pan troglodytes (chimpanzee). Its description in RNAcentral is "retained intron". Lineage: Eukaryota; Metazoa; Chordata; Mammalia; Primates; Hominidae. The record is from RNAcentral.
UCCCCGAGCACGCGUGGCCAUGCGUCCCCUGCGCCCCCGCGCCGCGCUGCUGGCGCUCCUGGCCUCGCUCCUGGCCGCGCCCCCGGUGGCCCCGGCCGAGGCCCCGCACCUGGUGCAGGUGGACGCGGCCCGCGCGCUGUGGCCCCUGCGGCGCUUCUGGAGGAGCACAGGCUUCUGGAGGUCCACUGGACGGGGCCUGAGCUACAACUUCACCCACCUGGACGGGUACCUGGACCUUCUCAGGGAGAACCAGCUCCUCCCAGGGUUUGAGCUGAUGGGCAGCGCCUCGGGCCACUUCACUGACUUUGAGGACAAGCAGCAGGUGUUUGAGUGGAAGGACUUGGUCUCCAGCCUGGCCAGGAGAUACAUCGGUGGGCAAGCGCAGGCCCUGGGGCCCUGGCCGGGGCAGGGGUACUCCUGGGCAGGUUGCACCCCUAUCACGCAGGCUGCUGCCUGGUCAGGAGAUAUAUUGGUGGGCAGGCGCAGGCCCUUGUGGGGGGAUGGGGGUGACAAGGGAUAG